RNAcentral lists this ribosomal RNA (35 nucleotides) under Calonectria pteridis. RNAcentral describes it as "partial 28S ribosomal RNA". Lineage: Eukaryota; Fungi; Ascomycota; Sordariomycetes; Hypocreales; Nectriaceae. The record is from RNAcentral.
UGACCUCGAAUCAGGUAGGACUACCCGCUGAACUU